RNAcentral lists this ribosomal RNA (698 nucleotides) under uncultured bacterium. RNAcentral's name for it is "bacterial SSU rRNA". It matches the Rfam family "Bacterial small subunit ribosomal RNA", at positions 637 to 1336 of the family's 1533-position model. The record is from RNAcentral.
UGGGCUAGAGUGUGGGAGAGGAAGAUGGAAUUAGUUGUGUAGGGGUAAAAUCCGUAGAGAUAACUAGGAAUACCAAAAGCGAAGGCAAUCUUCUGGAACACUACUGACGUUGAGGCGCGAAGGCGUGGGGAGCAAACAGGAUUAGAUACCCUGGUAGUCCACGCAGUAAACGAUGAAUGUUAGUCGUCGGGUAGCUAGUCUAUUCGGUGAUGCAGCUAACGCAUUAAAUAUUCCGCCUGGGGAGUACGGUCGCAAGAUUAAAACUCAAAGGAAUAGACGGGGACCCGCACAAGUGGUGGAGCAUGUGGUUUAAUUCGAAGAUACGCGAAGAACCUUACCUAGCCUUGACAUAUAUUAGAACAGACCAGAGAUGGACUGGUGCCUUCGGGAGCUUUUAUACAGGUGCUGCACGGCUGUCGUCAGCUCGUGUCGUGAGAUGUUGGGUUAAGUCCCGCAACGAGCGCAACCCUCGUCACUAGUUACUAACGGUUCGGCCGAGGACUCUAGUGAGACUGCCUUCGCAAGGAGGAGGAAGGUGAGGACGACGUCAAGUCAUCAUGGCCCUUACGGCUAGGGCAACACACGUGCUACAAUGGCCAGGACAAUGAGACGCGAUACCGCGAGGUGGAGCAAAUCUAUAAACCUGGUCUCAGUUCGGAUUGUAGUCUGCAACUCGACUACAUGAAGCUGGAAUCACU